This 1646-nucleotide long non-coding RNA is filed under the name Mytilus galloprovincialis (Mediterranean mussel). The record is from RNAcentral. Lineage: Eukaryota; Metazoa; Mollusca; Bivalvia; Mytilida; Mytilidae.
UUUACCAGACUUUAAUGAUGAUAUCAAAACAAAAUUGCACUGAUUACAUAUUACAAUGCUGAUUCUAAAGAUACUGAAGCAUAAACAAGAUUAUUGAUGCCUGGGAUUCAGAGAUCAUGUAUAGGAAUAAGAAAUUAUUUUAAUUUUUUUUUAAACUCUUACAAAUAACAAUGUUUGGUUGUACUUGCAUUAAACUGUUUUUGACAAUCAUGAUAUCGAUAUUAAAUUUUGUUUUAAAAAAAAACAGGAAAAAAUAUCUUCAAUUACACAAAGAUAAUUUCUAGUAUUUUUUUUAAUUAUUUUUUUCUUUAGUAUUCUAGCAAAUGUAACCACAAAACUCAUAUAUUAUUUUAAAGUACUUAAAGGUGAAACCAGGCAAUGUAAGAUAAAAAUAAUUGAUAAAUAUUUGAUUUUGGAAAAACAUUAUGUUCACAUAUAAUAUUGCCACGUAAAUUGGUUUUCGUGUGUAAACGUAUUUUUCUUUCAUAAUCUGUCUCAUGACGUUAUAACCCGCUAGCUCCGCCGUUUACAUUACUGGUAGAGAGGGUUCGGCCUGUGCUUUCGCUCCAGGAAUUCUGACAGCAUACUGACAAUACAACGAAACAGUAAAUUCAUAAAAAUAAUAACAAGACUCGUAUCUUUUAUUCUGGAAAUCAUGAAUGAUGAACUAUAAUUAGAUAUUUUCUUUUGAUUACUUAUUAUAUAUGGUGAGUUAUUUUCUAUCAAAAUAUUACUAGUAUUGUAUUAUUUGUAUAGUUAUGUUAUGGAAUUGGCUUUUGCUUCUAUAAAUAGACCAGGAACAAAACUUUUUAAAAAGAGAAGUUUUAAAGUUAAUUUGAAUUCAAUAAUCACAUUAAAUUUAGAUGUGAGCAAGCUGGAAGAACACAUUUUGACAGGGUGUAUUUAAAGGCUUUCAUUGUAUUUCAUUACAUUCAAAGAUUUUUGACAAAAACAAAUCUUCCUUUAUCGUAAGUGUAAUGACUUCAUUUCAGACAUUUUUGAAAUUUAAAAAAAAAAAGAGAGUGCACAUUCUGCGUAUUUUUCUAAAAAUUUUAAUGUAAUGAUACAAUUUUAAAUGAGCAGUUUUAUGGGUUGAAAAUAGUAAAGCAAAAGGAAAGUUAAAAUGAAAAUCUAAUCAUAAUAUUUGACUUUGUAAUUGUACUAACACUUAUAAUCAAGUCAUAUAGGUUCACAACAUACUGAAACAAAUCAUACCAUAGCUUUCACAAAUGAAUCCUGAAUUUAAUACAUGUAUAUGAGAAAAAAAAUGCACCAAGUAAAUACUGGAAGGAGUAAUGGUAUUACAACAAUUAUGAAUCAGAUUUACUCAAUACAACAAUAUCUAACAAUUAGGGGUGAGGAUAGGUGUAUCAUGGUAAAUGGGAGCUUUUCUCAUUAACAUAAGUCUGAAGAGCUAAAUAAAAAAUAUAAGAUUUUUUUAUGUACAUAGAAAAUAAUGAUGAUGGAAAACACAUUCAUUUCACAUUACAAACAAAACAAAUUGUGACCUGAUGGAAAUUAAGGAAGGAUUUUGGACAUAAGCCCUCAUACAGUUCAGUUAUGCUACAUAAUUUUUUUUGAUAAUCUAGUCAGGGAUCUUCAGGAUUACACAAAAAUUGCCUCAGAUAAAUGAUACAGCCACAAAA